ACAGUUACAAUCAAAACACCCUGCAGAAAAGCCCAAACAAAACCACAAGACAAGCCCAAUCUACUCCAGCAACGCUAGCCAACCUCCGCCCCGACAGGGGGAUCGCCGCCUUGAACCGAUGCCGUCCGGCUGAAGGCUAAACAGUUACAGCAUUUCUUCUUACUGAAGCUCAGUCAAGGUCAGCCAAACUAAGCAUUCUAGGUACAAAUCGAGCACUAACCCUUUCAUCGAUAAAGCCAAGGUUAACUCAUUAACACUCAAAGGAAAGAGUAAAACAGGCCAAUGGCAAUCUCAGUCUCCGUUAGCCGACGAGGGGCCUGCGUGCUGCGAUAUCGGCGCCAGCGCCUGCUUCCACAGACCUAUGCUUCCAGCAUUGAAACGGUAGGAUCAAGCUCAUCUAUCUCGCAGAUCUCUGGAUGGCUACUCUCCCCUUUGAACCUCAAAUCUGCAACCAAAACUCGACCAACUAUCAUCUCCCUUCCUUGCCCCCAGGGAUUCUACCUCGGCUUUUUCGAGAGACGAUUUAGAAUGAAAAACACGAGAAAAUAGAGCUUGAGAACUGAAGUAACAAUUAUGGAUGACAUUAACAUACCUACAAUGACCAGAUUGUGCAGAGUUUUACAAAACUAGGGCCCAAGCCAAGUCCAUAACAGCCCAAUGUUUUUUGCACUUUUGUUAUAUUAUUUUUAUAUUUCCUGACAGAGAUACCACCGUCUCUCAAAAUUAUGCUUCCUUUGUCUGAUUGUCUCUUCUCUACCGUCCUGCCUCAAUUUUAGUGAUUGUUUUCGCCUUGGUUGUUGUGGAUGCUUAUUAUCGUAUGUAUCAUAUAUUCUGCAAGUUUCUUCUGUCUUAUCUGCAAUUUUGUAAAUUAUAUAGCUUAGUAAUUAUGAUUUCCGCUUUCCAUUCGCAAAGAAUUCUACAUUGAACCCAUCAAAUAUUUAAGUUCUCUUAUGCUGAUGAACACCCAAAAUCAUAUCAUUUGAAUCGUACUAAAUUUUGGGUAGCUGGAUCUCUGUUGUUCCUGAUGGGUACUGCUGCUCCUCAGUACCCAUAUGGAAUCACUGCACAUUUCGAUGGAAAUUUUGGUUACAAGUUGGAUACUUCAAGCUCCAAGUUUCCUUGUAAAGUGGGAUUUUUAAGACUUAACUUGUACCAAAGUUCUGCUUCCAUCACUAAUUCCAAGGGAUUUGUCAGCCGAAUAUGUUCAGUACCUGAUCUUGAUGAUAUCUUUUGGGAGAAAGUUAGUACACCCAUACUUGAUGUGGUUGAAAACCCCAUCCACUUGAAAAAUUUGACCCCUAAGGAACUGAAACAACUGGCUGAUGAAAUACGAGCAGAAUUGUCUUCUAUAAUGUCAAGGACUCACAAAUCUAUUAAGGCCAGUUUAGCAGUGGUGGAACUUACUGUUGCCGUUCAUCAUGUUUUCAACGCACCAGUGGACAAGAUACUAUGGGAUUUUGGAGAACAGACAUAUGCACACAAAAUUCUCACAGGAAGGCGAUCCCUUAUGCAUACUCUGAGACUAAAGAAUGGACUUUCUGGCUUUACAUCUCGGUCUGAGAGCGAAUAUGAUCCAUUUGGGGCAGCGCAUGGAUGCAAUAGUAUUUCUGCUGGGCUGGGGAUGGCAGUUGCACGUGAUGUGAAAGGUAAACGGGAACGUGUUGUUACAGUCAUCAGCAAUGGGACAACUAUGGCUGGUCAGGUCUAUGAAGCAAUGAGCAAUGCAGGUUAUUUGGACUCAAAUGUGAUAGUUAUUUUAAAUGACAGACGUCACUCUUUGCACCCAAAGAUUGAAGAGGGCCCUAAGACUUCGAUAAAUGCUCUAUCUAGCACCCUAAGCAAGCUGCAGUCAAAUAAAUCAUUCCGGAAAUUUAGAGAAGUUGCAAAGGGUGUUACCAAAAGGAUUGGUAUGGGUAUGCAUGAAUUAGCAGCCAAAGUUGAUGAGUAUGCACGUGGUAUGAUAGGUCCCCUAGGAUCAACUCUCUUUGAAGAGCUCGGUUUGUAUUACAUAGGCCCUGUUGAUGGACACAGCAUUGAAGACCUAGUUUGUGUUCUACAAGAAGUGGCAUCUCUGGAUUCUAUGGGACCUGUCUUGAUACAUGUAAUAACAGAAGAGAAUAGAGAACCUGAAGAUAAGCAAAAGAGUAAGGAAUUGCAGGAAGGCUCAUUUUUAUUCGAUUCUUCUCUCUAUAGUAGUCAUACUCGAACAUAUAGUGAUUGCUUUGCGGAGGCUUUGGUUAUGGAGGCAGAGAAGGACAAAGAUAUUGUGACUGUUCAUGCAGGAAUGGAAAUGGAAAAAGCUUUUCAACUGGUUCUGGAAAGAUUUCCAGACAGGUUUUUUGAUGUGGGAAUGGCUGAGCAGCAUGCAGUUACAUUUUCUGCCGGUUUAUCAUGUGGGGGCUUGAAGCCAUUUUGCAUAAUUCCUUCUGCUUUUCUACAGAGAGCAUAUGACCAGGUGAUCCAUGAUGUAGAUGUGCAGAAGAUUCCAGUUCGUUUUGUCAUUACAAGUGCAGGAUUGGUAGGGUCAGACGGUCCCACGCAGGGUGGGCCAUUUGAUAUAACAUUCAUGUCAUGCUUACCAAACAUGAUUGUUAUGGCACCAUCUGAUGAAGAUGAGCUUGUGGACAUGGUGGCCACUGCAGUUCACAUUGAUGAUCGUCCGGUCUGCUUCCGUUAUCCAAGAGGUGCCAUUAUUGGGACAGAUCAUUUUGUGCGCAGUGGAAUUCCAAUUGAGAGCAGGUUGGAAAGGGAAAAGUUCUUAUAGAGGGUAAAGAUGUUGCUUUGCUAGGGUAUGGAGCAAUGGUUCAGAACUGCCUCAAAGCUCGGCACCUUCUUUCAAAGCUUGGCAUUGAGGUAACUGUUGCUGAUGCAAGGUUCUGCAAACCUCUCGACAUAAAGCUUCUCAGACAACUAUGCGAAAACCAUCCAUUUCUGGUCACAGUUGAGGAAGGCUCUGUAGGGGGAUUUGGAUCCCAUGUUGCACAGUUCAUGGCUCUCGAUGGAAAGCUUGAUGGUAGAGUUAAAUGGCGACCUAUCGUUUUACCGGACAGCUAUAUUGAGCAUGCAUUGCCGAAGGAGCAGCUUAACCUUGCUGGACUGACUGGACAUCACAUUGCUGCAACAGUGCUAAAAUUGCUUGGCCGCACCCGCGAAGCUCUCCUUUUAAUGAGCUAGAAAUCUGUAUUUUCUCUGCUAUUUUUCUUCAAGAUGUUGAGCCUACAGUGCUGCACAGAUUUGUGUUGGUAAUUAGUUAACAGAUUAACAUUAUAUCAGGCUUGUAAUGAUUGAACAGGACUGAAAAUAUUGCGAAAAUUGAUCUUUUUGUGCUC
Molecule: RNA transcript, 3329 nt
Organism: Manihot esculenta (cassava)
Lineage: Eukaryota; Viridiplantae; Streptophyta; Magnoliopsida; Malpighiales; Euphorbiaceae
Gene name: probable 1-deoxy-D-xylulose-5-phosphate synthase, chloroplastic
Exons: 10
Source: RefSeq, a predicted model, not a curated record